GUGCUCACUUUGGCAGCACAUAUACUAAAACUGGAAUGAUACAGAGAAACUUAACAUGCCAACAUGCCCUCUGCACAAGAUUGACAUACAAAUUCAGGAAGCAUUCCAUAUUUUU
Molecule: small nuclear RNA, 115 nt
Filed under: Procavia capensis (Cape rock hyrax)
Lineage: Eukaryota; Metazoa; Chordata; Mammalia; Hyracoidea; Procaviidae
Source: RNAcentral